This 227-nucleotide long non-coding RNA is filed under the name Elaeis guineensis (African oil palm). Its description in RNAcentral is "long non-coding RNA (EGUI_LNC046471)". Lineage: Eukaryota; Viridiplantae; Streptophyta; Magnoliopsida; Arecales; Arecaceae. The record is from RNAcentral.
CUCGAGGAUCUUCUGACAGAACGGAGGUAGGGACCCUCCGGGGAUAGAAUCAUGAUCAGAUGGAGGACUCUCUGCCCUCUGCUUCCCCUUUUCGGGGAAGACAGGGUGACUGGCCUAAGUGGGUCGCCCGAUCGUCAGAUUCUGGAACUCCGACAAUACUCUUUCCAGCCGCACAGAUGCCUGCGACUGCUGCUACUGCAUGGCCUGCACUGCUUCGACGAGGCCCC